UUAAUGUUUAGAUUAGUUUUAAAUUACUUUAAACAAUCCAAUUUACAAUUUUAAUCAAUUUAAAUAUACAUUAACCAAAGCCCAUGUCCAUAACCAAUUAUCCAAAUCAUCAUCCAAUAAUCCAUUUCUAAUUACUAACCAUGUAGAUAUCCAAUUUAAUUGCAACCCAUAUCCAAACCAUUUAUCCAAAUCCAAACAAAAUCUAUAUCCUAUUUUGUCCAAACCAAUCAUAAACCCAAAACCAGGACCCAAUUCCAUUGUGUCAACCCAUUUACCAUUAAACCUUUUACAUCUCAGUAAAGCAAUUUGAGAAAGGUAUCAGAAUAGAGUAUCUGCAUAAACCAAGUAUAUAUCCACAACAUCCAAAACGGCGAUGAAAACCAAAACCAACGGCAACAAAAAGCCAGUUGCACCUGCAUAUUCACAUAGCUCACAAGUCAGGACAAUAAAAACCAAAACCUCAC
This 464-nucleotide long non-coding RNA is filed under the name Lathyrus oleraceus (garden pea). RNAcentral's name for it is "Pisum sativum (pea) long non-coding RNA (PSAT_LNC006677)". Lineage: Eukaryota; Viridiplantae; Streptophyta; Magnoliopsida; Fabales; Fabaceae. The record is from RNAcentral.